AUUAUUUAUUAACAUAUUAGUAACAAAUUGCAUUGAGAAUCAAAGCACCAUGGGCCAAACCUUUUGAAUUUCAGAUGUUUAUAUUAAUAUAUCUGAAGACUAGCACGGAGACUAAUAUGUCUUAAGUAGUUUUUGUAUGAUAAAGUCAUCUAUCCAUCAAUCCAUUAUACCUAUUAGCUUUUUUUAACAUUCAUCUCCCAUCUUUUGAUUUCCAGAGUGAGUGAAAUACUGCAGAUGAAAAAUUCUGUGGGGUUGACAUUUUCCUCUAGAGAAUGUAUUUUCUGAAAUGAACUAUAUAGGACCACUUGAAAUCUAUAAAACUUGUGCGAAGGCUGGAUAAACCUAAACAGUUUUUUCUUUGUACUCCAGGAAGACACAGCAGUAUAUGGUAAAUAAAGCACAAGUAUUUAUAUGUAGCUGCAACUAUGUGUUGUUUGAUUACAAUUGUGCAAUUGUGUGUUAUUGCCUGAUCUUCAAAUAACAUGAAAAAUCGCCCUUAAAAUAAACCUUGAGUGGAUGUGAUCUUCAUAGAAACAGUUUGUUUAUUAAUUAAACUUUUGUUUCUCAUAGUACACUGCUUUGAUCUCGUAAUAUUUUUUAAAACAUCCUGAGGGCUUAUUUUCAAGGCUUCCAAAUGAAUUUUUAUUUCUUAAAAGCCGUAAUAUAUUCAUGGUUCAGUGAAUCCCAAAGAUGGUAUUUUUAAACUCCUGUUAAGUUUAUUUUUCUCAGCGUGCUAGUCUCCUGCAUAAUUUUCUUUGCUCUGUGGGUCACAUGACUCCUCCCGUCCAUAACACACGCACUUAAAAUUUUCACUUCCUGAUUGAGCCAUCAAGAUUAUGUAAAAUGUAAAUCAGUCUAACUACCUAUGAGCAGGAAUUUUAAGGGGAAAAUGCUAUUUUCUUUUUCUGUUUCAUUAUUGAUGCCUAAAAAAUUGGAGUAUGUGCUUGCCUAUUUGUAUUUGGAAACUAGAAACUGUUUAGUUUUUUUUUUUUUUGUCCCUUCCCUUUCAGAUUGCAUCAGACUUUGCUUUCAUUAUAAAAAUAAAGUACCAACUAGAUAGACCGUAGGAGUGGUGUAGUUGCAGGACUGAAAUCAAAAUGGUUCCGAUUACUGAGAGAGCUGUUCAUUUACUUAUUAUUUUUUUUUCGUAAUCUGAAUGAAGAGUAUAGCAUCUCUCACAAGGUAACGAUUUGAUAUUUCAAAGUUGUAAAUAGCCAUUUAGCCUUUCUGCUGCCUGAUGGAAAUGAAAGUAAUUUUUCACAGGCUGGAUGACACUUGUUUUAUCAUGAAUCUUAAAAUCCCUCAUAUUUGCUUGAAGCAGUUUUGAAGUUGUCAUAGUAACAGCAUGAUAUUCGGAGGGUCCUUUUAGUAGUUCUUUAGCUCGAGUUAAUUAAUUUUAUUAACUCUGGAUGUUUUUUCUUUUUAUUCUUCUCUGACAAACAAAGGCCAUAAUUGCUCAAAUAUGUAUUUCGUGUUCUUUAUUUCUUGGUGACUGUAGUUCGAGGACUUGUUGUUUUGCAGGUUGUUUCAGGAGAGAAACAAGAAUGUUAUCAGUUGGUUUCAGAUAAGUUAAACUUGAGUUUUUAAUUACUUCUCUGUAAAAUUGCACCACCACUGUAAGACCAGAAUUUGGUUUUAUUUAAAGAGUUGGAUUAUAGGAAAUGUUCUCUCAAAUUUAAUGGUGACUUACACAGUUAAAUUAUGUUACAAGUAUUCUCUCUCUCUCUCUUUUUUUUUUUUUAAUUCUUCUACAUCAAGAAUAAGAAUUGAGGAAUAGAGAAGGGAAAUGUGUCAGACUGCCAGGGGAAAAUUAUUUCUUUAAAAAUGUAACACUCAGAUACAAUAUCAAAAUCAUUUCCACAAGAGAAAAAGAAAUGAGUAAAUCUUGACUUUAUCAAAAUUAAAAGUGCAACAAUGCUUUCUGAAAUUCUAAAAUAUGCCAACAUAAAUUAUCCUCUAGGGAAGUUUGUGGGAAUUUUUUAUUGGGGGAAAGUAGGUCAAGAUCUUCUAUUAGAAAAGCUCUGUGGCAGAAAUUCUUGCCAGUAUGGCGAUUGGUGAGAAAGGAAGCCCUUCUCUUGGGCAGGGAGAGGGUCUGAAGAAAAAAUAGUCUGUAUGAGGUCUGGAUGCAGGGACUUAAAAAAGUAUCAGAUGUUCAGUGCUUUUGUUUUCUUAGAAAAGUGAUCAGAGAGAUGUGGCACUUAUAAAAGGGACCACGUGAGUUCUGUGGGUUUAAUGCUAACACCAGUAUCCCUACUGUCGUGUGAAGUAUUUGUUCAACCAGGGGCGAUUCAAGAAGGUCGGGGUAGCAGCGUGUGCAGCCAACAGCAGUGAAGGUGCUAAUACACGUCCAGUGAUGUCAGGAGUUACGAGACAGAGGUUUCAAAAUACUGCGGUAAACAAGGUCAAAGUGUCCCAUUUUGCUGGAAGAAGGUUUGUUUUUAUGAGCUGAACAGUACAUGGAUGAAGUAAGUUUUCAAAACAAACAUCAAAUUUGGGUUUUAAAAAAUGAACCCGAUGAGAUUUAGUAAGGGGUUACAUUUUUAAGCAAAAUUAUACUUUUUUCCUUUUUUUUUUUUUUUAAAUUGAUUCUCUUUUUAGACAGCGAGACAGGACAAAUGCCGGUCACCAGUAAAAUACCUCUUUUAAUUUUGUGCCCUCCGCUCUUUCUUAAGGCUAAAUUUAAGUGCAAGAAAGUUAAUGGCACAGAAUACUGCUGACUGUGUGGUUCCUGUCUUUAUGCAUUUUCCAACCUUGAACCUGAGAAUGCCAGAGGCUCGCGUCUCUGGACACUCGUCUGAGUGGUUAUCUGCUGGUGGCCUGGUUCCUGAGGUAACAAGUGGGUGUCCCAGGCGUGCGUGUGGUAACAACAGCAGUGGUGCCACGUGGCGCCCAGAGGUUGCCUGGGUCUGAACUGGGGAUUCCUUGUCCUCGAUGAAGCCUCUGAGAUGAACUGUGAACUUGGGGCAUCCGAGAGGCGCAGGCAUUUAGGAGUCCUGCAGCAAACCUGGACCCGAGUGUAAACACAGCUUCCAAAGCGAAAGCAGGGGCCUUGAGGAAAGGAGUUUUACCCUCAUCUCGCUCGCGACCAGCUUACUGUGCUGGAAAACAAAGUAAGUGUUGUUUAUUUCUUUGUUAGUCAGUCUCUCCUACAUGUUUUUUCUUGCUAACAUUAUUAGACACUCAAUAUCUGGCAAAUGCCAAGUUGUUUUUUUUUUUUUUUUUUUUUUUUCUUUCCCCUUCAUCGGGAAGCAGGAGAUGAAGUUUGUUCAAUAGCUAAUUGCUUCUUUUAUCUUUUCGAUCUCUCUUCCUGCAUCUAAUGUGCUGGCUGGCUUGUUAGAGAUAGUAAGAGACUGAAAUUUAUUAUCAAUGAGAAAACAAAAAAGUUCUCUUUUUCUCCCCCCUCUUUUUAAAUGGUUCAAGAACUUAGCAUUAAUUAAAUGACAGUGACACAGACAAGGCUGUUUAUGUGGUGCGGCCAGGAGCGCAUCUAGCAGAAUAGCCCCGCUUCACUUGCCCUCAUUUCCACUGGAAGCAGGAAGGGCACACGACAGGUAUGGAGACGGGGAGUCUCCACGUGGAAACUGCAGGCACUAGAUGGGAAUGGCUCUUGGACAAGAGGCUGUAAUUUUAAAACCUGUCAGGAAAUGGGAAGGACCCAAAGAAUACAAGUUAUUUAAUGAUGUUGGGGAAAAAAUUUAAUAUAAAAAAUGGGUUAAAAUAGAUAAAGACCUAACCUCAUCAACAGGAACUGAACUUUUUUUUCUUUCAGGUUAGAAAGUUUCCUCCCUUGCAGAUUUAUAGAAAAUACAUUUAAUAACUUAACAAAAUUAGGAAGAGGCUUUAUCACCUACACAGAAGACUUGUCUGUGACAUCAGCCUGCUUCUGACACUUGGUUCUUGUCUUCCACUUUUGUUUUGUUUUGUUUUUCAUGCUGAUCCUGUCUCCAGAGAUGUUAUGCGGCUUGAUAAAUUUUGAAUACAAGGUUCUGUGGUUUGGAAAAUGCAAAACAAGUGGAAAUGCAGAAUGGUUUGUAAUUUGUAAUUAAACUAACCUUUCUGCAGUAAAAGGGACUGCGUUUACAGUAGCGUUUUCUCAGCUUUCAGCAGUGACACUUUGAAGGUAGAAGGGGACAGCAUGGCUGUAGUGUGGCGUUUGGAAAGCAGAAGUCAGGGAUCUUCUGAAUCCAGUAUGGAAUACCGUGUGAAUUUAAGCCAGGGCUUCUGUGCCGUGGGAACGCACGCUUUAUCUCAGAGUGGUGAUGAUGGAACUUGAGGUGGCUGCACUUCGUUUGAAACACUCCGGGCUCCCUCUCUGAAGGUCUGUGAAUUAUUAAUUCAGCAAACAUCUUUAAGCACCUUCUUUUUGUAUGGCGUUGUGCGCAGACCUGUAGUUUUUCACAAUUAAAUUGACAGAGAUUCGGUUUGCAAAUCAGAGAUUGAGAACAGUUUGAAACAAGGGCGAGUGAGCAGAGAGCAUUACCAUCGAAACGGUUUGUUAAAGAUGGUGCCAAGUGAGCAGGGCUGUCCCCUUCUGAGCUGCCCCUCCUAAUUAAAGGGGAAGGUGGCUGCCAUCUGUUUUCUUUCAUUCAAGGCAGUAGGGGGUCUAGGGUGGAAGGAAGCAACCCCCCCUCUUAUUUUUCUCCCACUCUUUUUUUUAAAGUCGGCUUUCUCCCUAGUCAGUGACCCAGAAGGUCAUUGAUGAUCUGUCUAUCUCAGAAUGAAUAGUAACAUAAGCAUGCAAGGCACUUG
Molecule: long non-coding RNA, 4749 nt
Filed under: Sus scrofa (pig)
Lineage: Eukaryota; Metazoa; Chordata; Mammalia; Artiodactyla; Suidae
Description: lncRNA (ENSSSCG00015080869.1)
Source: RNAcentral